AGGAAAUGGGCACGUGUCUUGUUGUAUUCAAUCCUAACAGAACAACGUAUAAGAUAGCGAUGGUAUUUUCUAUUAUAAUCAGAGCAAGCAGAACUAAAAUAAAAUACAUACAUCUGAUGCAAACAUCAAAAUCGCCAUCCGAGUGUGUCCAACAGAGAUCGGCAACCAUUCUUGCUACGGUUGCUAAUAAUAAGUACAACAAAGCACAUGUUUAAAAGAUGUAUCAUAAUAAAAGCUACAAAAAUCAUAUGCCCUACUUGCUUUUGCUACAUAUAUCUACAAGUAUACAACAAGCUAAAGUACUGCACAAAAUCUGGAAUCGCGCUCGGGAGAUCGGAGACACCAUCCAAGCUACUGCAAAGACCUUGUCCUGCCUUGUGAUAGUGGUGACCUGCAAUCCAAGAAAAUGAGAUGAGCAUCCGUCAGAGACAGACAGAGAGAGAGAGAGAGAGGUGAACCUGCAGUAGCGGCCUGGGUGGAGUUGCAGUCCACGCAGGUGCCGAUGCGUGCGAGAGUGAAGACUGUACCUAGAGGACCGUGGAGUCGUGGGCGAGCUUGUAGUCCUUGUAGAGGAACUAGCCGCCACCCGCCGCCGCGAAGGAGGCCAGCCUCACCCGCAGUAUGAACCCCAUCCUCCUCCUCCUCGCUGCUCCUCCACCACGUUGAGGUUCCACACAAACCGUCAAGCGCCGCCGCGCUCCGCCUGGCCACCUACCAUGGACGACAGCGACGAUGCUGCGAACGACCGUCUCGGCAGCACUCAAUCCUCACCAUGACAUCCAUGACCUCUCCGAUGUGGCCUGACAGGGCACUCUCUCGCGUGGUGCGGCGGCCGCCCAUGCUGCCUCUGCCGAGGACCGUGGAGAGGAGAGAGGGACGGGGGACCGUGGAGAGGAGAGGGAGACGAGAGAGGCGGAGCAGCUGCGGCGGCGAGACGCGUUCCUCCCGCUGAGCAUCGAGAGGGCGGGGAGGAGGAGACAAGCGACGACGCGGCAGGGAGCGG
RNAcentral lists this long non-coding RNA (1003 nucleotides) under Triticum aestivum (bread wheat). Its description in RNAcentral is "long non-coding RNA (TAES_LNC015622)". The record is from RNAcentral. Lineage: Eukaryota; Viridiplantae; Streptophyta; Magnoliopsida; Poales; Poaceae.